Molecule: ribosomal RNA, 496 nt
Filed under: uncultured bacterium
Lineage: Bacteria
Description: partial 16S ribosomal RNA
Rfam family: Bacterial small subunit ribosomal RNA
Source: RNAcentral
GAUGAACGCUGGCGGCGUGCCUAAUACAUGCAAGUCGAGCGAACGGACGAGAAGCUUGCUUUUCUGAUGUUAGCGGCGGACGGGUGAGUAACACGUGGAUAACCUACCCAUAAGACUGGGAUAACUUCGGGAAACCGGAGCUAAUACCGGAUAAUAUUUUGAACCGCAUGGUUCAAAAGUGAAAGACGGUCUUGCUGUCACUUAUAGAUGGAUCCGCGCUGCAUUAGCUAGUUGGUAAGGUAACGGCUUACCAAGGCAACGAUGCAUAGCCGACCUGAGAGGGUGAUCGGCCACACUGGAACUGAGACACGGUCCAGACUCCUACGGGAGGCAGCAGUAGGGAAUCUUCCGCAAUGGGCGAAAGCCUGACGGAGCAACGCCGCGUGAGUGAUGAAGGUCUUCGGAUCGUAAAACUCUGUUAUUAGGGAAGAACAUAUGUGUAAGUAACUGUGCACAUCUUGACGGUACCUAAUCAGAAAGCCACGGCUAACUACGU